AGAUAAAAAUUUCAUUCAUCUGUACGGUUAAAAACUGACGUGGUUGACGAAAUAACUAGACAGUAACACGUGAUGUGUCACGUUUACAUCAUGAUGUAUAAUGACCAAUUUUUAAUAAUAAAAACAGAUAGAAUUUUUAACG
Molecule: microRNA precursor, 142 nt
Filed under: Gossypium hirsutum (cotton)
Lineage: Eukaryota; Viridiplantae; Streptophyta; Magnoliopsida; Malvales; Malvaceae
Description: MIR7502 microRNA precursor family
Rfam family: MIR7502 microRNA precursor family
Source: Rfam by way of RNAcentral